AGGAUUAUAGUUUAUACAUAAACAUUUGAUUUGCAUUCAAAAAAUAUUGUUAAAUACAAUUUAUCUUA
RNAcentral lists this transfer RNA (68 nucleotides) under Cigaritis takanonis. Its description in RNAcentral is "tRNA-Ala". It matches the Rfam family "tRNA". Rfam says of the family: Transfer RNA (tRNA) molecules are approximately 80 nucleotides in length. Their secondary structure includes four short double-helical elements and three loops (D, anti-codon, and T loops). Further hydrogen bonds mediate the characteristic L-shaped molecular structure. tRNAs have two regions of fundamental functional importance: the anti-codon, which is responsible for specific mRNA codon recognition, and the 3' end, to which the tRNAs corresponding amino acid is attached (by aminoacyl-tRNA synthetases). tRNAs cope with the degeneracy of the genetic code in two manners: having more than one tRNA (with a specific anti-codon) for a particular amino acid; and 'wobble' base-pairing, i.e. permitting non-standard base-pairing at the 3rd anti-codon position. The record is from RNAcentral. Lineage: Eukaryota; Metazoa; Arthropoda; Insecta; Lepidoptera; Lycaenidae.